Molecule: ribosomal RNA, 492 nt
Filed under: uncultured bacterium
Lineage: Bacteria
Description: partial 16S ribosomal RNA
Rfam family: Bacterial small subunit ribosomal RNA
Source: RNAcentral
AGUGAACGCUGGCGGUAGGCCUAGCACAUGCAAGUCGAACGGCAGCACAGUAAGAGCUUGCUCUUACGGGUGGCGAGUGGCGGACGGGUGAGGAAUACAUCGGAAUCUACUUUUUCGUGGGGGAUAACGUAGGGAAACUUACGCUAAUACCGCAUACGACCUACGGGUGAAAGCAGGGGAUCUUCGGACCUUGCGCGAUUGAAUGAGCCGAUGUCGGAUUAGCUAGUUGGCGGGGUAAAGGCCCACCAAGGCGACGAUCCGUAGCUGGUCUGAGAGGAUGAUCAGCCACACUGGAACUGAGACACGGUCCAGACUCCUACGAUGGGCAGCAGUGGGGAAUAUUGGACAAUGGGCGGAAGCCUGAUCCAGCCAUACCGCGUGAGUGAAGAAGGCCUUCGGGUUGUAAAGCCCUUUUGUUGGGAAAGAAAAGCAGCAGGUUAAUACCCCGCUGUUCUGACGGUACCCAAAGAAUAAGCACCGGCUAACUUCGUG